This 31-nucleotide non-coding RNA is filed under the name Mus musculus (house mouse). Lineage: Eukaryota; Metazoa; Chordata; Mammalia; Rodentia; Muridae. The record is from RNAcentral.
UGGGGUAUUUGAUUUUUUUCACAAUGGCCAC